RNAcentral lists this ribosomal RNA (453 nucleotides) under uncultured Porphyromonadaceae bacterium. RNAcentral describes it as "partial 16S ribosomal RNA". It matches the Rfam family "Bacterial small subunit ribosomal RNA", at positions 341 to 792 of the family's 1533-position model. Lineage: Bacteria; Pseudomonadati; Bacteroidota; Bacteroidia; Bacteroidales; Porphyromonadaceae. The record is from RNAcentral.
ACGGAAGGCAGCAGUGAGGAAUAUUGGUCAAUGGACGAGAGUCUGAACCAGCCAAGUCGCGUGAAGGAAGACGGUUCUAUGGAUUGUAAACUUCUUUUGUUUGAGAGUAAAAUGAGAUACGUGUAUCUUAUUGUAAGUAUCAGACGAAUAAGCAUCGGCUAACUCCGUGCCAGCAGCCGCGGUAAUACGGAGGAUGCGAGCGUUAUCCGGAUUUAUUGGGUUUAAAGGGUGCGUAGGCGGAAGAUUAAGUCAGCGGUGAAAGCGUGUAGCUUAACUAUACCAAGCCGUUGAAACUGGUUUUCUUGAGUGUAAACGAGGUAGGCGGAAUGUGACGUGUAGCGGUGAAAUGCUUAGAUAUGUCACAGAACACCGAUUGCGAAGGCAGCUUACUAGCAUACAACUGACGCUGAGGCACGAAAGCGUGGGUAUCAAACAGGAUUAGAUACCCUGGUA